RNAcentral lists this transfer RNA (82 nucleotides) under Conidiobolus sp. RNAcentral describes it as "tRNA-Leu". It matches the Rfam family "tRNA". Rfam says of the family: Transfer RNA (tRNA) molecules are approximately 80 nucleotides in length. Their secondary structure includes four short double-helical elements and three loops (D, anti-codon, and T loops). The record is from RNAcentral. Lineage: Eukaryota; Fungi; Entomophthoromycota; Entomophthoromycetes; Entomophthorales; Conidiobolaceae.
GCGGAUAUGAUGAAAUUGGUAAACAUGUCAUAUUUAGGAUAUGAUGACUUUGGUCUUGCAAGUUCAAUUCUUGCUAUCCGCA